UUAUGAAAUAGAAAUGAGACUUCACAUGAGUAGGACUUAAGCACAUUGUAUUAGCAAAUGAUUCAGACUUUUUCACAACACCUACUACAGGUAUAUAGCUGUUCUUGCCUUUACCAGGCUUGGGACCUCACUAACAGUUCACUAUGAACAGCAGAAAAACAAACAAAAUAUUUCACAGGUUAAUAUGAAGUUCUGCCAUUGGGCAUACGUGGGCUCCUUCUGCAUUUUAGCCCCUCAGACAAUGGUUAAAAGAAAUACUUCCUUGAAAAGAAUUUUGGCAGAAUGCCUGGUUGUGCCUUUUUUGUGGAAAGAGAAAUAAUCAGAGUUUAAGAUUUAUGCUAAAUUAUGUGCAAAGCCUAUUGGUUUGGUUAGUUGGUAAGAGGCUAGAAAGAAAAGAUUGCAGAAUUCAACAAGAAGAUAUAAUACAGGGGUAUGUGGUUACUUACAUUUCUUCAUUGCAGAUAAAUCUAUCAGUAAUUAGGGGGAGAAUACGUUCAUUCUAUUACACUUUUCUUUCCUUUUUUUUUUUAAUUAGCCUGCCAGGUACUUAUACAAUGGGCCUAUGUACAAAGUGGACGUGGCAGCAGAAUUUCAGGCCUUGGCAGAAAGACUUACAGAUGAAGGAAAAAGGAGAUACCUGACAAAGAUGAGGAAGAAAAGUUUCAAAUGCUCAGCGUUCAUCAGUACAAUAUAUGCAGUUUUCCAAUUUAUAUGUUAGCAUAUUCUCUAACAGGAUUACGUGUUUUAUGAACACACCAGAACAAAUUCUGUUGGAGUUUUAAAACUGAAAAUUAUAGCCUAAUGUAGAUUUUUAUUUGGGUCAUUUUCCAUAAUUGUUCAUUUUAAAAUUCCAAAAGGAGUUGCUUUCUAAUUGUAGUAG
This 880-nucleotide long non-coding RNA is filed under the name Callithrix jacchus (white-tufted-ear marmoset). RNAcentral describes it as "lncRNA (ENSCJAG00000075170.1)". The record is from RNAcentral. Lineage: Eukaryota; Metazoa; Chordata; Mammalia; Primates; Cebidae.